RNAcentral lists this long non-coding RNA (1810 nucleotides) under Elaeis guineensis (African oil palm). RNAcentral describes it as "long non-coding RNA (EGUI_LNC024210)". The record is from RNAcentral. Lineage: Eukaryota; Viridiplantae; Streptophyta; Magnoliopsida; Arecales; Arecaceae.
CAUGAAGGUCUUGCCGACACAGCAAUCAACAUGGUCCACUGUAGCCACUUAGCCCACCAUAGCCAACUGGGACAAUUCUCUGCAAAAUCUAACAUGGCUCAUUGUAGUGAUGGGUGAUCUACUAUAGCCAACUGAGGUAAUUUUUCAAGAAAUCUAACAUGGCCCAGUAUAGCCAAUCGGGGCAAUUUCUAAGAAAAUCUAUAACCAUAGGUGGCCCACUGUAGCCAUCCACAGCAAUCCUUCAAAAAAUCUAACAUAGCCCACUAUAGCCACAAGUGGCCCAUUAUAGCCACAUGGCUUAUUGUAGUCAAUCGGGACAAUCUCCCAACAAAUCCAAUGUGGCCACUAUAGCCACGAAUGGCCCACUAUAGCCAAUCGUGGCAAUCCCUUCGAAAAUCUAACAUGGCCCACUAUAGCCACAUGGCCCAUUAUAGCCAAUCGGAGCAAUCCUCUGAAAUUUCAAUGUUGCCUACUGUAGCCAUGGAUGACCCAUUAUAGCCACAUGGCCCACUAAGGCCAACACAGAUUAAUCCCCUAGAGAUCUUAUAUUGCCUACAGAAACCAAUGACGAUGAUAUAAGAAGGGUUAACUCACUUAAAGACCCUACUUGAAGAAAAAGAGAAGACAUGAAAAAACACCUCAAAGAAAAAUUCAAGAGUACUUCAUUCAAAAAGUUUGUGUACACUACGGAGAAGCUCAUUACAAGUCAGUCGAGCGAGGCUCGUGGAGACAAAGAAAGAAGACAUAUAAAACUCGGGCCCAACUAGUGCCCUUAAAGCACAAACUGAGCCCCAGCCAAUGCGACCCCAGAAAAAGAGUGCAGGACUCUUCAUUUUGCGAUGCUCACCAACCCUCUCUAAAGGAUAUCAGUGAUAGCAGGGGAGCUUCCUUUUUAGAAACUCAUUCGCCUUUACAAUGUACCUCUGAGGAAGGCUACACUAGGCAAAAGAAGAAACAGACUCUCUAGAAAGGCCCAAGAUCUUUCUGUGGAGGAUAAUGUAUUAGGAGUCCCCAGGCAGCCGUCAUCGUAGUCGGAGCUGCGGGAUUUUUCAAUAUGUCCCAUGCCAAAGUAGGAUGCUCGAUGAAGCAUCCUCCGGAAGCACUCUGCAAUUGAUCGAAGGCAUAAAGGAGAUCUCCCAAAUCGGAGGAGAGCACUAGUGACUCUGGCACUAGACCAGGUGACACCACCUCAACAUUGUAGGAGGCAACUGAGGAGAUGCCAAUCCCAAGCGACAGAAUCUCUACUUAUAGAGGGAGCAGACCUAGACAAAUUCGAACGCCCCAUUAAUCGCAUGACAAGUAUCGCCCCUCGAAAGGUCUCAAAGAUCGUGCUCCCUAAGGAGUAGGUGCAGGCAUUAAAUGUGAGGCCCGAUUAGGUCUCCAGAUUAUAUGGUCCUCUAUCGCACAACCUCGAGAUGAAUCUUCCUUAAUUUGCUGAAAGUGAUACGACACCAAUCAAUAUUCCGCACUCGACGCGCACACAAGCCCAUAAUUUUUAAAAGUUUAUUCUUGACAUACUGUAGAAGCAAGUGCUUCAGACAAGGUCAAUGGAGAUCUUGACUUAAAUGUGGAAACCGAUGCUGCUAACCAAUCCGAGCCAUUUGAAUCCUUGACUAAGGCAAAAAGCUGACCACACCAACAUUACAAAGAAGUAAAAGACAUCAUGUGAGAGAUAAAUGUAAUGAAAAUAUAUCUUUUAUUAACUAAAAAUCUAUUUAUAGAUGUUCACCAAAGGAAAGGUGCCAAAAAAUAAAUACAAAAGGAUGGACAACUAGUCUUCAUCUAAGGAAAAUGCUCCAACCUCCUCAUC